GAUGAACGCUGGCGGCGUGCCUAAUACAUGCAAGUCGAGCGAACAGACGAGGAGCUUGCUCCUCUGACGUUAGCGGCGGACGGGUGAGUAACACGUGGAUAACCUACCUAUAAGACUGGGAUAACUUCGGGAAACCGGAGCUAAUACCGGAUAACAUGUUGAACCGCAUGGUUCAACAGUGAAAGACGGUCUUGCUGUCACUUAUAGAUGGAUCCGCGCCGCAUUAGCUAGUUGGUAAGGUAACGGCUUACCAAGGCAACGAUGCGUAGCCGACCUGAGAGGGUGAUCGGCCACACUGGAGCGGAGACACGGUCCAGACUCCUACGGGAGGCAGCAGUAGGGAAUCUUCCGCAAUGGGCGAAAGCCUGACGGAGCAACGCCGCGUGAGUGAAGAAGGUCUUCGGAUCGUAAAACUCUGUUAUUAGGGAAGAACAAAUGUGUAAGUAACUAUGCACGUCUUGACGGUACCUAAUCAGAAAGCCACGGCUAACUACGUG
Molecule: ribosomal RNA, 497 nt
Filed under: uncultured bacterium
Lineage: Bacteria
Description: partial 16S ribosomal RNA
Rfam family: Bacterial small subunit ribosomal RNA
Source: RNAcentral